AAUCAACGCUGGCGGCGUGCUUAACACAUGCAAGUCGAACGCGAAAGUGGAGCAAUCCAUGAGUAGAGUGGCAAACGGGUGAGUAACGCGUGGGCGACCUACCUUCGAGUGGGGGAUAACCUUCCGAAAGGAGGGCUAAUACCGCAUGACAUCCCGUGUUUGGAUACACGGACAUCAAAGCCGGGGAUCGCAAGACCUGGCGCUUGGAGAGGGGCCCGCGUCCGAUUAGCAGUUGGUGAGGUAACGGCUCACCAAGGCUCCGAUCGGUAUCCGGCCUGAGAGGGCGGACGGACGCACUGGAACUGAGACACGGUCCAGACUCCUACGGGAGGCAGCAGGUGGGGAAUUGUUCGCAAUGGGCGCAAGCCUGACGACGCAACGCCGCGUGGAGGAUGAAGAC
This 400-nucleotide ribosomal RNA is filed under the name uncultured bacterium. RNAcentral describes it as "bacterial SSU rRNA". It matches the Rfam family "Bacterial small subunit ribosomal RNA", at positions 29 to 415 of the family's 1533-position model. The record is from RNAcentral.